RNAcentral lists this ribosomal RNA (482 nucleotides) under uncultured bacterium. RNAcentral's name for it is "bacterial SSU rRNA". It matches the Rfam family "Bacterial small subunit ribosomal RNA", at positions 28 to 507 of the family's 1533-position model. The record is from RNAcentral.
GACGAACGCUGGCGGCGUGCUUAACACAUGCAAGUCGAACGGAGUGCCUAUGACAGAGGUUUCGGCCAAUUGAUUAGGUUACUUAGUGGCGGACUGGUGAGUAACGCGUGAGGAACCUGCCUUUCAGAGGGGGGACAACAGUUGGAAACGACUGCUAAUACCGCAUGAUACAUUUGGGCGGCAUCGCUUGAAUGUCAAAGAUUUAUCGCUGAAAGAUGGCCUCGCGUCUGAUUAGAUAGUUGGCGGGGUAACGGCCCACCAAGUCGACGAUCAGUAGCCGGACUGAGAGGUUGACCGGCCACAUUGGGACUGAGAUACGGCCCAGACUCCUACGGGAGGCAGCAGUGGGGAAUAUUGGGCAAUGGACGCAAGUCUGACCCAGCAACGCCGCGUGAAGGAAGAAGGCUUUCGGGUUGUAAACUUCUUUUGUCAGGGAAGAGCAGAAGACGGUGCCUGACGAAUAAGCCACGGCUAACUACGUG